GGUGGCUCAGUGGUAGAGUGCUUGCCUCGCAUACAUGAGGUCCUGGGUUCAAUUCCUCAGCACCA
RNAcentral lists this transfer RNA (65 nucleotides) under Dipodomys ordii (Ord's kangaroo rat). It matches the Rfam family "tRNA". From Rfam's summary of the family: Transfer RNA (tRNA) molecules are approximately 80 nucleotides in length. Their secondary structure includes four short double-helical elements and three loops (D, anti-codon, and T loops). Further hydrogen bonds mediate the characteristic L-shaped molecular structure. tRNAs have two regions of fundamental functional importance: the anti-codon, which is responsible for specific mRNA codon recognition, and the 3' end, to which the tRNAs corresponding amino acid is attached (by aminoacyl-tRNA synthetases). tRNAs cope with the degeneracy of the genetic code in two manners: having more than one tRNA (with a specific anti-codon) for a particular amino acid; and 'wobble' base-pairing, i.e. permitting non-standard base-pairing at the 3rd anti-codon position. The record is from Rfam by way of RNAcentral. Lineage: Eukaryota; Metazoa; Chordata; Mammalia; Rodentia; Heteromyidae.